UGGGGAAUAUUGCACAAUGGGCGAAAGCCUGAUGCAGCGACGCCGCGUGAGGGAUGACGGCCUUCGGGUUGUAAACCUCUUUCAGCAGGGAAGAAGCGAAAGUGACGGUACCUGCAGAAGAAGCGCCGGCUAACUACGUGCCAGCAGCCGCGGUAAUACGUAGGGCGCAAGCGUUGUCCGGAAUUAUUGGGCGUAAAGAGCUCGUAGGCGGUUAGUCGCGUCUGCUGUGAAAACUCGAGGCUCAACCUCGGGCUUGCAGUGGGUACGGGCUGACUAGAGUGCGGUAGGGGGUGACUGGAAUUCCUGGUGUAGCGGUGGAAUGCGCAGAUAUCAGGAGGAACACCGAUGGCGAAGGCAGGUCACUGGGCCGCAACUGACGCUGAGGAGCGAAAGCAUGGGGAGCGAACAGGAUUAGAUACCCUGGUAGUCCAUGCCGUAAACGUUGGGCACUAGGUGUGGGGUCCAUUUCCACGGAUUCCGUGCCGCAGCAAAACGCAUUAAAGUGCCCCCGCCUGGGGAGUACGGCCGCAAGGCUAAAAACUUAAAAUGAAUUGACGGGGGUC
This 563-nucleotide ribosomal RNA is filed under the name uncultured bacterium. RNAcentral's name for it is "partial 16S ribosomal RNA". It matches the Rfam family "Bacterial small subunit ribosomal RNA", at positions 355 to 921 of the family's 1533-position model. The record is from RNAcentral.